RNAcentral lists this ribosomal RNA (397 nucleotides) under uncultured bacterium. RNAcentral's name for it is "bacterial SSU rRNA". It matches the Rfam family "Bacterial small subunit ribosomal RNA", at positions 28 to 426 of the family's 1533-position model. The record is from RNAcentral.
GACGAACGCUGGCGGCGUGCUUAACACAUGCAAGUCGAGCGGUAAGGCCCUUUCGGGGGUACACGAGCGGCGAACGGGUGAGUAACACGUGGGUGACCUGCCCUCAGCUCUGGGAUAAGCCUGGGAAACCGGGUCUAAUACUGGAUAUGACUCCAUGACGCAUGUUGUGGGGUGGAAAGCCUUGUGCGGCUGAGGAUGGGCCCGCGGCCUAUCAGCUUGUUGGUGGGGUGANGGCCUACCAAGGCGACGACGGGUAGCCGGCCUGAGAGGGCGACCGGCCACACUGGGACUGAGACACGGCCCAGACUCCUACGGGAGGCAGCAGUGGGGAAUCUUGCGCAAUGGGCGAAAGCCUGACGCAGCAACGCCGCGUGGGUGAAGAAGGCCUGCGGGUUGU